GGUGAGGGAAGCUCAUCAGCAGGGCCACAUGCUGAGUGCUUAUCACUUGCUGGCCCCUGGGAAGGUCUGAGACUGGGUCCUCCCUGAGAAAUCUGGCAAGUGAGUUCUCAGGGUGAGCAGAUCUGGCAGGUGAGGCCCUGAGUGGUCAGGCAGAUGCCUCCCUCACAGGAGCUUGGAACAGACUCAGGGCCAGGAUGGGCAGGGCUGGUAUUAGCCUACAGGAGAGGCUCCUGUGGCUCUCACAGAAGACUGAAAUGCACACUCUCUACAGGCAGGCAGAGGUGGGGGAGAUAGGGACGAUUGGGAGUUUACUGCCUGCACACUCUGAAUCUAAAUCCCCCUCC
This 344-nucleotide long non-coding RNA is filed under the name Peromyscus maniculatus bairdii (prairie deer mouse). RNAcentral describes it as "Nuclear RNase P (ENSPEMG00000027010.1)". The stretch from base 3 to 274 matches the Rfam family "Nuclear RNase P". Rfam says of the family: Ribonuclease P (RNase P) is a ubiquitous endoribonuclease, found in archaea, bacteria and eukarya as well as chloroplasts and mitochondria. Its best characterised activity is the generation of mature 5'-ends of tRNAs by cleaving the 5'-leader elements of precursor-tRNAs. Lineage: Eukaryota; Metazoa; Chordata; Mammalia; Rodentia; Cricetidae. The record is from RNAcentral.